Molecule: long non-coding RNA, 1174 nt
Organism: Jaculus jaculus (lesser Egyptian jerboa)
Lineage: Eukaryota; Metazoa; Chordata; Mammalia; Rodentia; Dipodidae
Exons: 4
Source: RefSeq, a predicted model, not a curated record
AUAAUAUUAAUUCUCUACAUGUGACCUGACAUCUCUCUGUGACCAACUAAGAUGCCUCACGAAAUUCCUCCUUGACAGAAUACAUGCCUUCACUUCAUGAUGAGUCACUUAAUUCCUCAUGGCCACUGAGUAUCGGCCCCUGAGCCUCCAACCUCCACCAGACUGCAUGGAACACCUCGAGAGAUCUACCGACCCUCACCAGCAAGACAUAGUUGGAAGAUGAGUCGCUGCCCCCAAUUCUCUCCAAUCUUUUGUAGCUUUCCAGAGUCUAGACUGAAGGGUUCAUAGAUGUCUCUGAAAACUAGAGGGAACUAAAAAGUUAAUAACUCUCCCCAGGACAAGCAGGCCAUAAAGAAUCCUCAGAAGCAUGGUCUUGACAGACCUGUCCACUCCAAAAUGAUAAACUAACUUCCCUCAGCUUAGAAAACCAUGAGGGAACAGAAACCGUCUGAUGGGUUAUCCUCCCCAGACAAUUUGGCUAAAAAGCUUAUUUUGAGCAAGGACACAAAUAACCACAGCUCCUUACCUACUUCCCUUAGACCUGCAGCUGGUCCAGUCUGUUUUUCUUAGGAUCCCCCUUAUAAACUUGCACCCUUUCCUGGCCCAGUGCUUUAGCCUUUCAUCCCACGGGAAAGCUGAGGCCCCUCACUGUUUCUCUCAAUAAACUGUAGAGAACAAGUCCAGUGUUUUCUUUUGCUUUUCUCUUAUACUUUCGUUACAGGAACCAUCCCUGGACAGCCGCACUGGACAGAGAGGAGAAUGCACACCAGCGCCUCUUGCUGCUACAAACUCCGGAUGCACUUACCACACUGUACGUCUGGCUUUCCAUGAGUACUGGCUGCCUUUGCAAGCAAGUGCCUUUAACCACUAGGCCAUCUGCCCAGCCCAGGACCUACCAAGGCUCUCAUGAAGGAUUUUACAAGAGACAUCAGUAACUUUGAAUAUCAGCUUCUUUGAAAUGAGGCUUUUGCUGUUACCCUGGACAGGCCAGUUAUUGACAACCCACCAUUAGGACUGCCGAAAUGAGUACCUCAGCUUCAGCAGACCAACUAUUGCCAUCUUUGCAAUUAGCAGGCACCAUGACUUCCCUUCACAACUUGCCCACCAUGCACUUACUUCAGUAAGUAGUCAUUGGCGCAGAUGCCAUCAGCUGGCUUCCAGAGAAGGGUGCCAA